UAUUGUCACACUAUUUAACAGAAUAGUGAGGACUACUGGCUAAUACUAUCAUCUGGAUAAUCACUCCGUUCCCCGACUUGUCCCAGCUACGUUCUCUUUUCCUGAAGAGAACAGUGAAAGAAAGGGUGAGCUCAACUAGCCCAACAAGAAAUAUUAUGACUAAGAUAAUGCAGAAUAAAUUAUCAUUAGUCUCCAACAAUGUUAAACUGAUAAAAUACAAUAGACAUCAAGUUUAACUGCAGCGGCCAAGCAAUCCAUUAAAAGAGUCAAGUAGAGAAUAAAAUCUACUAUCUUUUAUGAUUUAAAAAGUUUUUCAUCA
This 319-nucleotide long non-coding RNA is filed under the name Panax ginseng (ginseng). RNAcentral describes it as "long non-coding RNA (PGIN_LNC019220)". The record is from RNAcentral. Lineage: Eukaryota; Viridiplantae; Streptophyta; Magnoliopsida; Apiales; Araliaceae.